GAUCAUGGCUCAGGAUGAACGCUAGCUACAGGCUUAACACAUGCAAGUCGAGGGGCAGCGGGAAGUCAGCUUGCUGACUUUGCCGGCGACCGGCGCACGGGUGAGUAACACGUAUCCAACCUUCCCGUUACUCUGGAAUAGCCUUUCGAAAGAAAGAUUAAUACCGUGAUAGUAUCGAGAGUAUUGCAUGAACUAACCCGAAUUAAAGAUUCAUCGGUAACGGAGUGGGGAUGUCGUUCCAGUUAGGCUAGG
RNAcentral lists this ribosomal RNA (252 nucleotides) under uncultured bacterium. RNAcentral describes it as "partial 16S ribosomal RNA". It matches the Rfam family "Bacterial small subunit ribosomal RNA", at positions 15 to 254 of the family's 1533-position model. The record is from RNAcentral.